GGAAUCGGCGUAACUUAGUGGCGGACGGGUGAGUAACGCGUGGGAAACCUGCCCUGUACCGGGGGAUAACACUUAGAAAUAGGUGCUAAUACCGCAUAAGCGCACAGCUUCACAUGAGGCAGUGUGAAAAACUCCGGUGGUACAGGAUGGUCCCGCGUCUGAUUAGCCAGUUGGCAGGGUAACGGCCUACCAAAGCGACGAUCAGUAGCCGGCCUGAGAGGGUGAACGGCCACAUUGGGACUGAGACACGGCCCAAACUCCUACGGGAGGCAGCAGUGGGGAAUAUUGCACAAUGGGGGAAACCCUGAUGCAGCGACGCCGCGUGAGUGAAGAAGUAUUUCGGUAUGUAAAGCUCUAUCAGCAGGGAAGAAAAUGACGGUACCUGACUAAGAAGCCCCGGCUAACUACGUGCCAGCAGCCGCGGUAAUACGUAGGGGGCAAGCGUUAUCCGGAUUUACUGGGUGUAAAGGGAGCGUAGACGGCAUGACAAGCCAGAUGUGAAAACCCAGGGCUCAACCCUGGGACUGCAUUUGGAACUGCCAGGCUGGAGUGCAGGAGAGGUAAGCGGAAUUCCUAGUGUAGCGGUGAAAUGCGUAGAUAUUAGGAGGAACACCAGUGGCGAAGGCGGCUUACUGGACUGUAACUGACGUUGAGGCUCGAAAGCGUGGGGAGCAAACAGGAUUAGAUACCCUGGUAGUCCACGCGGUAAACGAUGAUUGCUAGGUGUAGGUGGGUAUGGACCCAUCGGUGC
This 751-nucleotide ribosomal RNA is filed under the name uncultured bacterium. Its description in RNAcentral is "bacterial SSU rRNA". It matches the Rfam family "Bacterial small subunit ribosomal RNA", at positions 78 to 846 of the family's 1533-position model. The record is from RNAcentral.